Molecule: long non-coding RNA, 2420 nt
Organism: Ahaetulla prasina
Lineage: Eukaryota; Metazoa; Chordata; Lepidosauria; Squamata; Colubridae
Exons: 3
Source: RefSeq, a predicted model, not a curated record
GUGCAAGCGAAACAAUCACACACGCACGGCGCGUGCACUUCUGAACCGAUAAGGAAGAUUUCAAUUAUGUUAGUAUUUCUCUCCAGCAGAAUAAAAAGUAAAAAAUUCACUUUAAUAUCCACGAUGGGCAAACUUAUACAGGGCAUUGUGGAGCUGGAUUUAUCUCCAUAGGUAAAAGCUAUUUGCAAUGCCCUUCUCGAGGCUGAACAGAGGAACUGGUACUUUUCCCACGUCAUUGAAGAUGGUCUUGGCCUAUUGACCAUUAGUAAUCCUUUGAAGAAAAAACAAUUGCUACCAACCUGCCUUCCGUUGAGGACCUGUAUACUGUACGAGUCAAAAAGAGGACUGUGAAGAUAUUUACUACACCUCAUAUCCUGGACGUAAACUGUUUCAACUCCUACCCUCAAAACGACGCUAUAGAACACUGCACACCAGAACAACUAGACACAAAAACAGUUUCUUCCUGAACGCCAUCACUCUGCUAAACAAAUAAUUCCCUCAACACUGUCAAACUAUUUACUAAAUCUGCACUACUAUUAAUCUUUUCAUCGUUCCCAUCACCUAUCUCCUUCCACUUAUGAUUGUAUGUCUGUAACUUUGUUGCUUGUAUCCUUACAAUUUAUAUUGAUAUUGUAUCCUGAUUGCUUAUUUGUACCCUAUGACUAUCAUUAAGUGUUGUACCUUAUAAUUCUUGAUGAAUGUAUUUUUUUCUUUUAUGUACACUGAGAACAUAUGCACCAAGACAAAUUCCUUGUGUGUCCAAUCACACUUGGCCAAUAAAUUCUAUUCUAUUCUAUUCUAUUCUAUUCUAUUCUAUUCUAUUCUAUUCUAUUCUAUUCUAUUCUAUUCUAUUCUAUUCUAUUCUAAUGAUCCUUUGUUUUUGUGUUUUUUCCAAUGAGGAAUAGAGGGAGUAGCAAAAAUGGGUAGGUUGGAUUACUUUCUCUUCUCUCCCCAAUUUCAGCUGCAUCAUUUGAACAUCCGCAGCUUGCCCUUGAGAGAAGGGAGGUGGGCAGGGGAAAAUUCAGUUCUUGUUACUGGCUCCCUGGAUUCCACUGAGAAGCUACAGGAAGGUUUGCUGCCUUCCAUCAGAACUGUAUUUUUAGGGAAAUCCAAUGUGAGUGGUGAUGUCCCUUCAGGAAGCACCUUCAAAGGAACAUGCCUGAAAGUUAUUAUCCCUUUGAGGGCAAAUAAGGAAAAAAAAUGAUGUUAGGGGUAAAAAAGGCAUUAUUAUUAUUGAAUCCAAAGCACCAAUGCAUUUCCUUUGGUGAGCUAUAAAUAUAUAAAAGGUACCUUUUUUGGCAGCUUUUUCUGUAAUGUAAGAGCAUCAGCAUCAUAUCCUAAGAACAAGACUUAUAAGAAUUACUUGCAAGGUAGCGUGUAAGCUUUGAAAGAAAGAACUUUAAACACUGAUCUAUAAACUGGCUAAAUUGUAGUGUCGUGUCCCACUCCUCCGCUGACGGCUGGGUCCGGGAAAUCCGAAUCAGGCGUGCCUCUGCAGCUCUGCCCAAAGUCCUAGCAAAGUCCUCAGAGCAGGCAGGAGACCAGUAAGUGACUUCAGCAAGAUAAGUUUGACUUUUUGCCUGACUCAGAGACUGCCAGAAAGUAGCUCCUUUAUAUAGGCCAUGGGGUGUGGCACCAUGACUCAGCACUCAUUAAGGCCUGCCCCUCCCUUUCCUCUGUUGUCUCCGCCUCUCCAAUCUUCUGAUGCGAGGAUUACUCCAAUCAGCUGUUGUUGGGAGUAAACCCUCCUCAGGCUCACCUGCUGUGGAGGAGGGGGAGGGGUCUAGCUGCUCCGUUUGCCUGGGCAUGGAGUCAGGGCUGGGGCAGGGAGAUGCUCCUUCUUCUGCAGUUUGUGGGGGCAUGGAGCCAGGACUUGGGCCGGAAGGCAUACAUUCCUCAGUGUUGGGGAGCAGGUAAGAAGGCCCCGGCUGCUCUGAGGGCGGGCAAGACACAACAUGUAGGUACUAGUUUGCUCUCUGAGGAGGUAGAUUAAAAAAGGAGAAAAGUAUCAUCUAAGUUUGGCAGGUGAGAUUCCUAGAGUAAGAGAAAAUUGGACAAUGUGUGCAGUAGAAGAAGAAGCAUUUGAGUGUCAGGAACCAGAAGAGCCACAACCAUGGAGAAAAGGAAACUGAGAAGACAUCUGAGGCACUUGAAGCCAGAGAAGGAAUUUGCAAAUUGCAAAUUCCAGGUGGUUCAAGUGGAAUAACAUUUUAUUAUUUCAGUGGUCCCUUAGAAUAGUUAGAGAAUUCCUUGGAGUGCCCAAAUUAGAAACUUUAAUAUCAAAAUCCCCUCCCUUCCCUUUCCUCUCCUCUUUCCUUUCUUUUCCUUCCCUUCCCUUCCCUUCCCUUCUCUUCCCCUUCCCUGUCAUAUGCUAUUCUUUGAUGAUACACAUUUGAUUUAAAAAAUUCAGUGCAAAUAAA